UAUUAAUGUACGGAUUAGAGAGGA
RNAcentral lists this non-coding RNA (24 nucleotides) under Mus musculus (house mouse). The record is from RNAcentral. Lineage: Eukaryota; Metazoa; Chordata; Mammalia; Rodentia; Muridae.